This 281-nucleotide ribosomal RNA is filed under the name uncultured bacterium. RNAcentral's name for it is "partial 16S ribosomal RNA". It matches the Rfam family "Bacterial small subunit ribosomal RNA", at positions 44 to 334 of the family's 1533-position model. The record is from RNAcentral.
GUGCCUAACACAUGCAAGUCGAACGGGGUAGCAAUACCCAGUGGCAGACGGGUGAGUAACACGUGGUCAACCUACCUCUGUGUGGGGGAUAACUAGCCGAAAGGUUAGCUAAUACCGCAUACGAUCGUUUUGGGGCAUCCUGAGACGAUGAAAGGAGCAAUCCGCACGGAGAGGGGACUGCGUCCCAUUAGUUAGUUGGUGGGGUAACGGCCUACCAAGACUCCGAUGGGUAGCUGGCUUGAGAGAGCGACCAGCCACACUGGAACUGAGACACGGUCCAG